Molecule: ribosomal RNA, 841 nt
Filed under: Psychrobacter maritimus
Lineage: Bacteria; Pseudomonadati; Pseudomonadota; Gammaproteobacteria; Moraxellales; Moraxellaceae
Description: bacterial SSU rRNA
Rfam family: Bacterial small subunit ribosomal RNA
Source: RNAcentral
GAUGGGGGAACCCUGAUCCAGCCAUGCCGCGUGUGUGAAGAAGGCCUUUUGGUUGUAAAGCACUUUAAGCAGUGAAGAAGACUCCGUGGUUAAUACCCACGGACGAUGACAUUAGCUGCAGAAUAAGCACCGGCUAACUCUGUGCCAGCAGCCGCGGUAAUACAGAGGGUGCAAGCGUUAAUCGGAAUUACUGGGCGUAAAGCGAGCGUAGGUGGCUUGAUAAGUCAGAUGUGAAAUCCCCGGGCUUAACCUGGGAACUGCAUCUGAUACUGUUAGGCUAGAAUAGGUGAGAGGAAGGUAGAAUUCCAGGUGUAGCGGUGAAAUGCGUAGAGAUCUGGAGGAAUACCGAUGGCGAAGGCAGCCUUCUGGCAUCAUAUUGACACUGAGGUUCGAAAGCGUGGGUAGCAAACAGGAUUAGAUACCCUGGUAGUCCACGCCGUAAACGAUGUCUACUAGUCGUUGGGUCCCUUGAGGACUUAGUGACGCAGCUAACGCAAUAAGUAGACCGCCUGGGGAGUACGGCCGCAAGGUUAAAACUCAAAUGAAUUGACGGGGGCCCGCACAAGCGGUGGAGCAUGUGGUUUAAUUCGAUGCAACGCGAAGAACCUUACCUGGUCUUGACAUAUCUAGAAUCCUGCAGAGAUGCGGGAGUGCCUUCGGGAAUUAGAAUACAGGUGCUGCAUGGCUGUCGUCAGCUCGUGUCGUGAGAUGUUGGGUUAAGUCCCGCAACGAGCGCAACCCUUGUCCUUAGUUACCAGCGGGUUAAGCCGGGAACUCUAAGGAUACUGCCAGUGACAAACUGGAGGAAGGCGGGGACGACGUCAAGUCAUCAUGGCCCUUA